Molecule: long non-coding RNA, 274 nt
Filed under: Elaeis guineensis (African oil palm)
Lineage: Eukaryota; Viridiplantae; Streptophyta; Magnoliopsida; Arecales; Arecaceae
Description: long non-coding RNA (EGUI_LNC040081)
Source: RNAcentral
UUAUCCCCAUCCAUCCUCUGAUCAAAGAAGUGCCGAACAUGAGUAGAUGGGUGUGAAAAAACAUCAAGAGCUUGUCCUUUUUGUCACACAAAAAGAACUCAUCAAAAGUGAUCGACGGGUGGAAGGAUUAGGAUGAGGUUUUAAUCAAAUUCAAAACUCCUUUUAAAUUCAAAUCAAAACCAACCACAAUCCUAUCCAAGUGGACAAUAAAGUGGAGCAUUUGUUGGAGAAAUCUCAUGUAUAAACAAGCUUUGUGCGAUGAGGAAUGGCAUGG